CGUGUCGUGAGAUGUGGGUUAAGUCCCGCAACGAGCGCAACCCUUGAUUUAGUUGCCAGCAUUCAGUUGGGCACUUAAGGUGACUGCCGGUGACAAACCGGAGGAAGGUGGGGAUGACGUCAAAUCAUCAUGCCCCUUAUGACCUGGGCUACACACGUGUACAAUGGGCAGAACAAAGGGCAGCGAAGCCGCGAGGUAAGCCAAUCCCACAAAUCUGUUUUCAGUUCGGAUCGCAGUCUGCAACUCGACUGCGUGAAGCUGGAAUCGCUAGUAAUCGCGGAUCAGCAUGCCGCGGUGAAUACGUUCCCGGGCCUUGUACACACCGCCCGGUCACACCACGAGAGUUUGUAACACCCGAAGUCGGUGAGGUAACCUUUUGGAGCCAGCCGCCGAAGGUGGGACAGA
RNAcentral lists this ribosomal RNA (405 nucleotides) under Bacillus licheniformis. Its description in RNAcentral is "bacterial SSU rRNA". It matches the Rfam family "Bacterial small subunit ribosomal RNA", at positions 1061 to 1471 of the family's 1533-position model. The record is from RNAcentral. Lineage: Bacteria; Bacillati; Bacillota; Bacilli; Caryophanales; Bacillaceae.